GGAGUCUUGGCGCAAUGGUAGCGCGUUGGUUUUCGGUUAUGUGCUGUCCACCAAAGGUUGAGGGUUCGAUCCCCUUGGACUUCG
This 84-nucleotide transfer RNA is filed under the name Ampelomyces quisqualis. It matches the Rfam family "tRNA". From Rfam's summary of the family: Transfer RNA (tRNA) molecules are approximately 80 nucleotides in length. Their secondary structure includes four short double-helical elements and three loops (D, anti-codon, and T loops). The record is from Rfam by way of RNAcentral. Lineage: Eukaryota; Fungi; Ascomycota; Dothideomycetes; Pleosporales; Phaeosphaeriaceae.